AGAGUUUGAUCCUGGCUCAGGACGAACGCUGGCGGCGUGCUUAACACAUGCAAGUCGAACGGAAAGGCCCUUCGGGGUACUCGAGUGGCGAACGGGUGAGUAACACGUGGGUGAUCUGCCCUGCACUUUGGGAUAAGCCUGGGAAACUGGGUCUAAUACCGAAUAUGACCAUGCGCCUCCUGGUGUGUGGUGGAAAGCUUUUGCGGUGUGGGAUGGGCCCGCGGCCUAUCAGCUUGUUGGUGGGGUAAUGGCCUACCAAGGCGACGACGGGUAGCCGGCCUGAGAGGGUGACCGGUCACACUGGGACUGAGAUACGGCCCAGACUCCUACGGGAGGCAGCAGUGGGGAAUAUUGCACAAUGGGCGCAAGCCUGAUGCAGCGACGCCGCGUGAGGGAUGACGGCCUUCGGGUUGUAAACCUCUUUCAGCACAGACGAAGCGCAAGUGACGGUAUGUGCAGAAGAAGGACCGGCCAACUACGUGCCAGCAGCCGCGGUAAUACGUAGGGUCCGAGCGUUGUCCGGAAUUACUGGGCGUAAAGAGCUCGUAGGUGGUUUGUCGCGUUGUUCGUGAAAACUCACAGCUUAACUGUGGGCGUGCGGGCGAUACGGGCAGACUUGAGUACUGCAGGGGAGACUGGAAUUCCUGGUGUAGCGGUGGAAUGCGCAGAUAUCAGGAGGAACACCGGUGGCGAAGGCGGGUCUCUGGGCAGUAACUGACGCUGAGGAGCGAAAGCGUGGGGAGCGAACAGGAUUAGAUACCCUGGUAGUCC
This 771-nucleotide ribosomal RNA is filed under the name uncultured bacterium. RNAcentral's name for it is "bacterial SSU rRNA". It matches the Rfam family "Bacterial small subunit ribosomal RNA", at positions 8 to 796 of the family's 1533-position model. The record is from RNAcentral.